RNAcentral lists this unclassified non-coding RNA (240 nucleotides) under soil metagenome. RNAcentral's name for it is "partial contains 5.8S ribosomal RNA, internal transcribed spacer 2, and large subunit ribosomal RNA". The record is from RNAcentral.
AAGACUAUAGACCUGCGGAGUACCUGCGGAAGGAUCAUUACCGAGUACCGGGGCCUUCGGGUUCCUACUCCCACCCUAUGUUGACUUUAAAUGUUGCUUUGGCGGACCGGUGGUCUCACCGCUGGCCUAGGCUGGAGAGCGUCCGCCAGAGGAUUUUAAACUCUGUUUAACGGUGAAUUCUGAGUCUUGAUAAAUUGAAUCAAAACUUUCAACAAUGGAUCUCUAGAUCGGAAGAGCACA